AAACAGUUAAACUUCCUUUUGAUUUAUCUAGUAUUAUAUUAAUUAAUUUUAAUCUAUGGUGGAUGUUAAUAGCAUACAUCAUGCGUAAAAAUGGAACAUAUCAAUGCUAUUAAGGCUUAACGCAGAUAUACAUGGGCAAUAGGGCGCUUCGUAUGAUUGUCACAAUCUUAUCAAAUGCAUCAUCACUGGCGAUUUUCCGAAAGUGGUCAUGGUUUUACAAUUCUUUGAAGAUCAAUGGAUACAGAAAAUUGUUAUAAUGAUGAAACGGGAAGAUUACUCCCCUCUGGGACAUUAUACUCUUAUUGAAGAAGACAAAUCUCAAUGGUAGAAUUUUAUUUCUAAAGCCAUUUUUCAAAUAUCAGUUUCCUCUGUGAAACAAGAUAUAUGUAAUUUUUAUUAUUCUCAUCUUUGAUGUAUUUGGUAAUCAUGUAUUCAAUUUUACAAUAUUAACGAAAUCAAGAUGUUUUCCUUCAAAAAAAAA
This is a long non-coding RNA of Papaver somniferum (opium poppy), 481 nucleotides long. RefSeq lists it as uncharacterized. The record is from RefSeq and is a predicted model, not a curated record. NCBI's taxonomy places the organism in Eukaryota, Viridiplantae, Streptophyta, Magnoliopsida, Ranunculales, Papaveraceae. The transcript has 2 exons.